UACGGAGGGUGCAAGCGUUAUCCGGAUUUACUGGGUUUAAAGGGUGCGUAGGCGGUUCUUUAAGUCAGUGGUGAAAUACUGCAGCUCAACUGUAGCAUUGCCAUUGAUACUGAAGAACUUGAGUACAGAUGAGGUAGGCGGAAUUUAUGGUGUAGCGGUGAAAUGCAUAGAUACCAUAAAGAACACCGAUUGCGAAGGCAGCUUACUAAGCUGUAACUGACGCUGAGGCACGAAAGCGUGGGGAGCGAACAGG
RNAcentral lists this ribosomal RNA (253 nucleotides) under uncultured bacterium. RNAcentral's name for it is "partial 16S ribosomal RNA". It matches the Rfam family "Bacterial small subunit ribosomal RNA", at positions 524 to 776 of the family's 1533-position model. The record is from RNAcentral.